RNAcentral lists this transfer RNA (74 nucleotides) under Sedimenticola thiotaurini. It matches the Rfam family "tRNA". From Rfam's summary of the family: Transfer RNA (tRNA) molecules are approximately 80 nucleotides in length. Lineage: Bacteria; Pseudomonadati; Pseudomonadota; Gammaproteobacteria; Chromatiales; Sedimenticolaceae. The record is from Rfam by way of RNAcentral.
GGGCCUAUAGCUCAGUUGGUUAGAGCAGUGGACUCAUAAUCCAUUGGUCGUAGGUUCGAGUCCUACUGGGCCCA